Molecule: non-coding RNA, 174 nt
Organism: Pocillopora verrucosa
Lineage: Eukaryota; Metazoa; Cnidaria; Anthozoa; Scleractinia; Pocilloporidae
Source: RefSeq, a predicted model, not a curated record
AGAUCCAGGAACUUCAGAUAAAAAAGCAAAACAAAUAAACAGCAGCCGCCAACGUGUAAAACAAGCAGAUCCAGACACUUCCAAUAAAAAAGCAGAACAAACUACAGAAAGAAAGACAGCUCCAGGCACCCCAAAUGAAACAAAAGAACAAAUACAGGAGGACAAGGAAGUAGU